GAUGAACGCUGGCGGCGUGCCUAAUACAUGCAAGUCGAGCGAACGGACGAGAAGCUUGCUUCUCUGAUGUUAGCGGCGGACGGGUGAGUAACACGUGGAUAACCUACCUAUAAGACUGGGAUAACUACGGGAAAGCGGAGCUAACACCGGAUAAGAUUUUGAACCGCAUGGUUCAAAAGUGAAAGACGGUCUUGCUGUCACUAAUAGAUGGAUCCGCGCUGCAUUAGCUAGUUGGUAAGGUAACGGCUUACCAAGGCAACGAUGCAUAGCCGACCUGAGAGGGUGAUCGGCCACACUGGAACUGAGACACGGUCCAGACUCCUACGGGAGGCAGCAGUAGGGAAUCUUCCGCAAUGGGCGAAAGCCUGACGGAGCAACGCCGCGUGUGUGAUGAAGGUCUUCGGAUCGUAAAACUCUGUUAUUAGGGAAGAACAUAUGUGUAAGUAACUGUGCACAUCUUGACGGUACCUAAUCAGAAAGCCACGGCUAACUACGUG
Molecule: ribosomal RNA, 497 nt
Filed under: uncultured bacterium
Lineage: Bacteria
Description: partial 16S ribosomal RNA
Rfam family: Bacterial small subunit ribosomal RNA
Source: RNAcentral